RNAcentral lists this ribosomal RNA (272 nucleotides) under uncultured Lachnospiraceae bacterium. Its description in RNAcentral is "partial 16S ribosomal RNA". It matches the Rfam family "Bacterial small subunit ribosomal RNA", at positions 70 to 339 of the family's 1533-position model. Lineage: Bacteria; Bacillati; Bacillota; Clostridia; Lachnospirales; Lachnospiraceae. The record is from RNAcentral.
AAGCUGGAGCUUGCUCCGGCCGGUUUAGUGGCGGACGGGUGAGUAACGCGUGGGUAACCUGCCUCAUACAGGGGGAUAGCAGUUGGAAAUGACUGGUAAAACCGCAUAAGCGCACGGUGUUGCAUGACACAGUGUGAAAACACUCCGGUGGUAUGAGAUGGACCCGCGUCUGAUUAGCUAGUUGGUGAGGUAACGGCCCACCAAGGCGACGAUCAGUAGCCGGCCUGAGAGGGUGAUCGGCCACAUUGGAACUGAGAGACGGUCCAAACUCC